AGUCAAACAACUAGCAUUAAAAAUAAGCUAAAAAUAAUCUAUUGUUAACUUAUCAACAACUACAACCAAUUAAACAAAUCAUUUUUAAGCCUCAGUACGGGAGACAGAAAAGGCUCUAAUAGCAACAGAGAAAGUACCGCAAGGGAACGUUGAAAGAGAAAUGAAAAACUAAGUUACACCCAGAAAAGCAGAGAUUACCCCUCGUACCUUUUGCAUCAUGAUCUAGUAAGUGUUCCUUAAGCAAAAAGACUUUUAGUUUAAACACCCGAAACCAGGUGAGCUACUCCGAGACAACCUUAUUUUAGGGUGCACCCGUCUCUGUCGCAAAAGAGUGGGAAGAGCUCCGAGUAGCGGUGAAAAACCUAUCGAACCUGGUUAUAGCUGGUUGCCUGAGAGAUGAAUAGUAGUUCAGCACUAUUACUUCUUAAACCAACUUGUUUUACCCUUCAGGUUUUAAAGAAGUUUUAGCAGUUAGUAUAAAGGGGUACAGCCCUUUAUACAUAAAAUACAAUUUAUUGAAUGGAUAAAGAUCAUAUUAUUAAAGGUUUCAAUACUUAGGUGGGCCUAAGAGCAGCCACCCUAAAAGAAAGCGUUAAAGCUCAUGUAUGCCUUUAUACCUAUUAUACUGAAAACAGAGUCUUAAUCCUUUAUACAUAUCAGGCCAUGUUAUUUAUUUUAACAGUGAUAAUGCUAGUAUGAGUAAUAAGGGGAAGCCCCCCUCCUUGCACAAGUGUACAUCGGAACGAACUAACACCGACCAUUAACGCCCCCCAAACAGAGGGUACUGGUUUAGUUAUAAAAAACUAGAAAAACCUCCACAUGUAAACGUUAAACCCACACUGGCGUGCUCUCAAGGAAAGAUUAAAAGGGAGAGAAGGAACUCGGCAAACUCAAGCCUCGCCUGUUUACCAAAAACAUCGCCUCUUGUGUAUCUUAAAUAAGAGGUCCCGCCUGCCCGGUGACUUCGUGUUUAACGGCCGCGGUAUUUUAACCGUGCAAAGGUAGCGUAAUCACUUGUCUUUUAAAUGAAGACCUGUAUGAAAGGCACCACGAGGGCUUAGCUGUCUCCUCCCCCUAAUCAAUUAAAUUGAUCUCCCCGUGCAGAAGCUGGGAUGUAAGCAUAAGACGAGAAGACCCUAUGGAGCUUUAAACAUAUCAGGUUUACGUCACUACCCCCUAAAUAAAGGAAUGAACUAAGCAUUUACCUAGAAAAUGUUUUUGGUUGGGGCGACCGCGGGGUAAUAAAUAACUCCCGUGACGAGAAAGCAACACUUUCAAAACUAAGACCCCCAAGUCUAAGUCGUAGAAACUCUAACAAAUGAUCCGGUUUACCGAUCAACGAAACGAGUUACCCUAGGGAUAACAGCGCAAUCCCCUUCAAGAGUCCCUAUCGACAAGGGGGUUUACGACCUCGAUGUUGGAUCAGGACAUCCUAAUGGUGUAGCCGCUAUUAAGGGUUCGUUUGUUCAACGAUUAAAGUCCUACGUGAUCUGAGUUCAGACCGGAGUAAUCCAGGUCAGUUUCUAUCUAUGAGUGACUUUUUCUAGUACGAAAGGACCGAAAAAGUAAGGCCAAUGCUGCUGGCAAGCCUUAACCCCACCUGCUGAAGACAAAUAAAGCAGAUAAGGGCACUAAUAAGCCUAGCCCAAGUCUAGGGUUU
RNAcentral lists this ribosomal RNA (1660 nucleotides) under Callionymus curvicornis. Its description in RNAcentral is "Repomucenus curvicornis 16S ribosomal RNA". It matches the Rfam family "Bacterial large subunit ribosomal RNA". The record is from RNAcentral. Lineage: Eukaryota; Metazoa; Chordata; Actinopteri; Syngnathiformes; Callionymidae.